AUGGAUGCAGAUCUCAGCCAAUGGAUUAUGAAGCACUACGACCCUGAGGUGUCCCAAAUUGUUAUACCAGAUAGGGGGAAGAUUCCUAUUGAUGCAGCGAGUGUGCAUCCAAUUUGGGGAUUGCCAAACAGGGGCAGGAAGGUCUGCUUUGAGAAUCGUCCUGACAUCACAAAGGCCAUUUACAACAUCUACAAUAUCACAACCAAGAACUCACCAACCCUCACAGCAUGGUGCAAGAUGAUUGUAAAUAUGAAUGGAGCUUACGAUGACGAUUUUCUUCGUGCUUGGUUAGCAGUUGCCUUUUCCUGCUUCCUUGCACCAUCAACAAGUCUAAGCAUCUCGCCAAAAAGCUUCCCUGCUAUCAUGGAUGUCAAUGGUAUAACAGAGACGAAUGUUUGCCAGUUUGUUGUUGAUCAGUUAAAGGCAGCAUUUAAAGAUGUGCGUACCAAGAAGAAUGAUGUAUGUUGCUGUGUUUUCGAUCUCGUAGUAAGUGCAUUAAACUCAAACGAUUAUCUCUCAUUCUCAACACUAUCCUCCAUCUUGUUUGUUAUAUUUGCAAACUUAUAUGUUUUCUGUCUUCAGUGUCAUCUUUUUCAUUUGUAG
RNAcentral lists this ribosomal RNA (603 nucleotides) under Triticum aestivum (bread wheat). RNAcentral's name for it is "partial small subunit ribosomal RNA". Lineage: Eukaryota; Viridiplantae; Streptophyta; Magnoliopsida; Poales; Poaceae. The record is from RNAcentral.